This 442-nucleotide ribosomal RNA is filed under the name uncultured bacterium. Its description in RNAcentral is "bacterial SSU rRNA". It matches the Rfam family "Bacterial small subunit ribosomal RNA", at positions 355 to 787 of the family's 1533-position model. The record is from RNAcentral.
UAGGGAAUUUUCCGCAAUGGGCGAAAGCCUGACGGAGCAACGCCGCGUGAGUGAGGACGGCCUUCGGGUUGUAAAAACUCUGUUCUUGAGGAAGAAUUCCUUCCAGGCGAACAGCCUGGAAGGUUGACGGUACUCAAGGAGAAAGCCCCGGCUAACUUCGUGCCAGCAGCCGCGGUAAUACGAAGGGUGCAAGCGUUAAUCGGAAUUACUGGGCGUAAAGCGCGCGUAGGUGGUUUGUUAAGUUGGAUGUGAAAGCCCCGGGCUCAACCUGGGAACUGCAUCCAAAACUGGCAAGCUAGAGUAUGGCAGAGGGUGGUGGAAUUUCCUGUGUAGCGGUGAAAUGCGUAGAUAUAGGAAGGAACACCAGUGGCGAAGGCGACCACCUGGGCUAAUACUGACACUGAGGUGCGAAAGCGUGGGGAGCAAACAGGAUUAGAUACCC